CAUUAAAGUCCACUUUACAUCAACAAUAAAUUGGACAAGAAAUUGACCAAGUUAUUCAAGGCCAAAUUUGACGUGUAAAAGCACACUUUGACAUCUAAGUUUGUUCGUUAUAAACUUCACGUGAAGAAAUUGACGAAAAAGAAAAUUGUUCUAUUUUUUCAUUUUAUUCGGCGUGAAUUCAGUGUCACCAACCUGUGUCCAUUUGGCGGGAAGUGGAAGUAGAGCUUUUUGUUUAUUAUUAUUUGUUGAGGUUGAGUCUUUCAUGUUCAUGACAACCUAAAAAUUUUGAUUGGAAAAUGCAUAUAAGAUAAGGGGGUGGAAAAAUGGAAAUUAGUGGCUUUUUUUUGCAGUUCUGUCUGUUAGUUUUGCGUUUUGCUCUGGCUGGGUCUCUUUUGUUUAAACAAUUAUAAUCAGUUGAAAGUGGUCUACAAAACAACCAGGAAGGAAACGUAUUAUAACCUUGUUGUGGCUAUGAAAGGCAAAAGAAAGAUACCUAUAAAAAGUGUAUUGACUAGUUGGAAGAAACUCCACAUUGUCGAUGCAUAAUAAGAUAUUACUUUAUAAACAAAUAUCAAGACCUAGGAAUGGAACCUGGAUAAUAUAGUCAUCAAGAAGAUAGCAGGAAGUCAUGAGCAACAACAACUUCAUAAGUAUGAGAAUAUUGAGGAAAUCCAGCUCCUCAUAUCUACUACUGGACAAACUAGAAGAUUGAAGAGGACAAAGCCUUUUGAACUAGUUUGAGUGAUAGGUGAUAGUGAAAAGCAGAGCGUAGUGCUUGUGUGCCUGUGUAUGUUAGAAUAGUGCACGAUCUUGUUAGAUUAGAUAAGAGACGCUAUGGGGUAAGCUCUUCAUUUUAAGGAACAGUAGUAAUUUAGGUUAAAUUAAAAUUGCUCAUUGGUCAGUUAUGACCAGAUUGUAAUUCUCUGAUGUUUGGCAAAAAGGGCUUAAGUCAGAAUUGCACAUCAAUAAUGUUUUGAUGAUUUCUGGACCAUAAAAAAAGUGUUGCAGACUUAAACUGUAUGUACCAAUAAAAAGAGCCGAUUUUUCUGGUCCAGAAAUCAUCAAAACAUUAUCGAUGUGCAAUUCUGACUUAAGCCCUUUUUCCCAAACAUCAGAGAAUUGCAAUGUACAAUUCAAUACAAAUGAAUCAUCAUCGUAGUGAUGAUUAUGGAAAAAAAUAUAUGACAAGAUUUUGUGCAAUAAAAAUAUUUAUAUUUAUCAAGGAUGUAUUAUUUGGUAUGGCCACAUAUACUUCUGGUAUAUUGUCGGUGAUGUGACAAUACCUCCUAUCUGCUUUUUCAUGAAUUUUGUAGGAGACGAAAAACCAUUUUUAGGGUCAUCUCUGUUUUCACAUGUAAAUUUUGACAUGUUUUGUAGUAAAUAGAUAAUUGAAUUUACUACAAAACAUGUCAAAAAAUAUCAUGUGAAAACAGGAGGUGACUGUAAAAAAGUUUUUAGUCUCUCUUACAAAACGGUUAACAGAGGUGACAGUUAAUAGAGAGACAGAUAAUUAAGGUUCCACUGUAUAGUGAAAUUUGGACACCCGACACCCCAUACAAAUUUUAUGGGGGUUUUGUUCGUUUAAACCCCCCCAAACUUUUGUGUAAGUUACAAUUGAAUUAUUAUUGUGGUACUGUUAAACACAAUGUUUUUAAAACUUUUUUGCCUCUUAGUACUUUUUUGAAGUCAGUUUUUAUCAUGAUAUUUUGAAUAUUUGUCAAAUCCACCACAUAUUUGUAUAUGGUUAAGUACGAUUGUAGAGACUAAUAAUAUGAAAAUUUAUUAAUGAUUUACAUUUUUAGGUAUAUUUUGAACCAUUUUAAAAAGAAGCCAUAUCUUGAUAAAGAGAGCUUUAUCGAAAAAAUAGAAAGAGGUAAAAAAGUUUUAAAAACACAGUGUUUAACUAAUGGUACCGCAGAAAUAAUUUAAUUGGAACGUACCCAAAAGUUUGGGGGGGUUAAAGGGAACAAAACCCCCAUAACAUUUUUAUGGGGUGCACAAAUUUCACUAUAAUUUUUCUUUAAGAUGUUACUGCAAUAAUAUUGCUUCAUGUCCAUUUUCAAUAAAAAAUCUUUAAUAGUUUUCGAUAUAUUCGAAAAAAUCAAUUUUUAUUUUGUAUGUUCAAAGGGCUGUAACUUUUUUUGUGUGCAUAUUUGUACUAAGGUAAGUUAGGUUCAUUCAAAUUAUUUUUGGUCCCAGAAUAUGUGAUUUAAUUUACGACCAAUCUUUUCGGGACACCCUGUAUAAUAAAUGGGAUUAGCUGGCUUAAAAAUUCAUAAUCUACGUUCUGUAGAAAAUAUCCAGUUUUUGGUUUCUUUUUAACUAGAUCUUAAUAUCUAACCAAGCAUUUUAAGACCUUUUUAUUAAUUUUUCGAUGAUAUAUUCGUGUUUUUAGUUUGUUCAAAAUAUUCUAGA
This 2415-nucleotide long non-coding RNA is filed under the name Diabrotica virgifera virgifera (western corn rootworm). Its description in RNAcentral is "uncharacterized LOC126883459". Lineage: Eukaryota; Metazoa; Arthropoda; Insecta; Coleoptera; Chrysomelidae. The record is from RNAcentral.